This 491-nucleotide ribosomal RNA is filed under the name uncultured bacterium. Its description in RNAcentral is "partial 16S ribosomal RNA". It matches the Rfam family "Bacterial small subunit ribosomal RNA", at positions 29 to 506 of the family's 1533-position model. The record is from RNAcentral.
AGUGAACGCUGGCGGUAGGCCUAACACAUGCAAGUCGAACGGCAGCACAGUAAGAGCUUGCUCUUACGGGUGGCGAGUGGCGGACGGGUGAGGAAUACAUCGGAAUCUACUUUUUCGUGGGGGAUAACGUAGGGAAACUUACGCUAAUACCGCAUACGACCUACGGGUGAAAGCAGGGGAUCUUCGGACCUUGCGCGAUUGAAUGAGCCGAUGUCGGAUUAGCUAGUUGGCGGGGUAAAGGCCCACCAAGGCGACGAUCCGUAGCUGGUCUGAGAGGAUGAGCAGCCAAAUGGGAGCUGAGACAGGGUCCAGACCCCUAGGGGAGGCAGCGGGGGGGAAUAUUGGACAAGGGGCGCAAGCCUGACCCAGCCAUCCCGGGUGGGAGAAGAAGGCCUUCGGGUUGUAAAGCCCUUUUUUUGGAAAAAAAAAGAAGCAGGUUAAUACCCCGGUGUUCUGGCGGUACCAAAAGAAAAAGCACCGGCAAACUGCGU